Molecule: ribosomal RNA, 381 nt
Filed under: uncultured bacterium
Lineage: Bacteria
Description: bacterial SSU rRNA
Rfam family: Bacterial small subunit ribosomal RNA
Source: RNAcentral
AGUGAACGCUGGCGGCAGGCCUAACACAUGCAAGUCGAGCGGCAGCACGGCAAUAGCAAUAUUGUGGGUGGCGAGCGGCGGACGGGUGAGGAAUGCAUCGGGAUCUACCCUGUCGUGGGGGACAACGUAGGGAAACUUACGCUAAUACCGCAUGAUCUGGAGACAGCAAAGCCGGGGACCCGCGAGGGCCUGGCGCGAUGGGAUGAGCCGAUGUCCGAUUAGCUAGUUGGCGGGGUAAAGGCCCACCAAGGCGACGAUCGGUAGCUGGUCUGAGAGGACGACCAGCCACACUGGAACUGAGACACGGUCCAGACUCCUACGGGAGGCAGCAGUGGGGAAUAUUGGACAAUGGGGGCGAACCCUGAUCCAGCCAUGCCGCGU